This 893-nucleotide ribosomal RNA is filed under the name uncultured bacterium. Its description in RNAcentral is "bacterial SSU rRNA". It matches the Rfam family "Bacterial small subunit ribosomal RNA", at positions 55 to 928 of the family's 1533-position model. The record is from RNAcentral.
UAGCAGUCGAGCGAAUGGAUUAAGAACUUGCUCUUAUGAAGUUCGCGGCGGACGGGUGAGUAACACGUGGGUAACCCGCCCUUAACACUGGGAUUACUCCGGGAAACCGGGGCUAAUACCGGAUAACAUUUUGAACCUGAUGGUUCGAAAUUGAAAGGCGGCUUCCGCUGUCAUUUAUGGAUGGACCCGCGUCUCAUUGGCUGGUUGGUGGCGUAACGGCGCACCAAGGCAACGAUGCGUAGCCAACCUGAUAGGGUGAUCGGCCACUCUGGGACUGACACAACGCCCACACUCCUACGGGAGGCAGCAUUAUGGAAUCUUCCCCCAUGGACGAAACUCUGACGGAGCAACGCCGCAUGAGUGAUGAAGGCUUUCGGGUCCUAAAACUCUGUUGUAAAGGAAGAACAAGUGCUACUUGAAUAAACUGGCACCUUGACGGUACCUAACCAGAAAGCCUCCGCUAACUACGUGCCAGCAACCGCAGUAAUACGUACGUGGCAAGCAUUAUCCGGAAUUAUUGGGCGUAAAGCUCGCGCAUGUGGUUUCUUAUGUCUGAUGUGAACUCCCACGGCUCACCCGUGUAGGGUCAGUGGAAACUGGGAGACUUGAAUGCAAACGAGGAAAGUGGAAUUCCAUGUGUAUGCGUGAAAUGCGUGAGAUAUGGAGGAACACCAGUGGCGACCGCGACUUUCUGGUCUGUAGCUGACACUGAGGCGCGAAAGCGUGGGGAGCAACUGGAUUAGAUACCCUGGUACUCCACGCCGUAAACUAUGAGUGCUAUGUGUUAUAGGGUUUCCGCCCUUUAGCUGCUGAAGUUAACUCAUUAAGCACUCCGCCUGGGGGAGUACGGCCGCAACGCUGAAACUCAACGGAUUGACGGGGGGCCCGCACAA